Molecule: long non-coding RNA, 273 nt
Filed under: Daucus carota (carrot)
Lineage: Eukaryota; Viridiplantae; Streptophyta; Magnoliopsida; Apiales; Apiaceae
Description: long non-coding RNA (DCAR_LNC003742)
Source: RNAcentral
UGGCUCCUAGGAAGUUAAUACAUCGGAAAACGUGAGAACUCCAAUGCUACUCUUUAUAGUUAGCUCCUAAUUCACAUUUUAUAUUUAUUUUAUAUAAAUGGGAGGAAAAAGUUAACUAAAAGAGAGAGAAGAUUGGAAAGAAAAUAAUAUUAUAUUGAGUUAAGAGCUACUAGAUUCUCUUUAAAAGAAAGGAGAGAGAGUAACCUCCUAAAUUUUUAAAGAGUAUCUAGGAGCCCAUUGGAGCACUAGAUUUUGAUUUGCUCCUAAAAUUUG